Molecule: long non-coding RNA, 496 nt
Organism: Cyprinodon tularosa
Lineage: Eukaryota; Metazoa; Chordata; Actinopteri; Cyprinodontiformes; Cyprinodontidae
Exons: 4
Source: RefSeq, a predicted model, not a curated record
GUUUGAUGCUCACUCCAUGAUAAAAACAACACGCAGGACUUUAAGAAAACUGUGACGGUCCAAAAAAUGCUCAGUUAAGAUGACACCACGUAUCAGUCCAAUGAAAGAUGCAAUGCAUCAUGUUGUUUCGAGAACAGACAAAAUAUCAAAACUUGAGGUGAAGUACAUUAAUCCAGUGAAAGGACGUGGGGUCUUUGCAAAAAGUUCAAUUUACAAAGGAGAGUUUGUAGUUGAGUAUUAUGGAGAAAGGAUUACUGAAGAAGAAUCUGAGAGAAGAAGGAGACUGUACCACCCUGCUUGUGCUGCUUUUAUGUUUGCAUUUAAGUGGCACGGCAAAACAUGGUGCAUUGAUGCCUCCAGAGAAGAUGGGUCACUCGGUAGACUCAUAAAUGAUGACCACAGACAACCGAACUGCAAAAUGAAAAAAAUUAAUGUGAAUGGAAAACCCCACCUUUGUUUGUUUGCGGUUAACGACAUUAAAGAAGGAGAAGAAAUC